CCGCCCGCCGCGGCCUCGUGUCGGGGCCGCCGCAGGAGCCGCUGGGGACCCCGGAGACCGUCGUGGGCUUCGCCGCCAUGUUCCUGAGCUGCCUGGGCCCGGCCGCCUGGGUGCUGGGGCACCUGGAGGACUACAAGAAACGGGAGUGACGGCGCCGGCCACCGGGAUCUGCGGGAGCCUCUGCGGGAUCCUGCGCCGGGACCAGCGGGAAUUCCCCCCCGGGGCCCCGCCCGYAGCGCCGGGCCCCCGCCGCGCCGCCC
Molecule: long non-coding RNA, 260 nt
Organism: Nothoprocta perdicaria
Lineage: Eukaryota; Metazoa; Chordata; Aves; Tinamiformes; Tinamidae
Exons: 2
Source: RefSeq, a predicted model, not a curated record